GGCGGGGGCGCAGGCGGCAGUGGCGGGAGCGGCCCCUCGGCCAUCCUCCGUCUGCCCAGUUACCGCUUCCGCUACCGCCGCCGCUCCCGCU
This is a non-coding RNA of Sus scrofa (pig), 91 nucleotides long. Lineage: Eukaryota; Metazoa; Chordata; Mammalia; Artiodactyla; Suidae. The record is from Rfam.